Molecule: ribosomal RNA, 254 nt
Filed under: uncultured bacterium
Lineage: Bacteria
Description: partial 16S ribosomal RNA
Rfam family: Bacterial small subunit ribosomal RNA
Source: RNAcentral
UACGUAGGGGGCGAGCGUCGUCCGAAUUUACUGGGCGUAAAGCGCGCGUAGGCGGUUUCUUAAGUCUGGGGUGAAAGGUUCAACGCUCAACGUGAACAGUGCCUUGGAUACUGGGAGACUUGAGUCUGGGAGGGGGUAGUGGAAUUCCAGGUGUAGCGGUGAAAUGCGUAGAUAUCUGGAGGAACACCGGUGGCGAAGGCGGCAUCCUGGACCGGUAUUGACGCUGAGGCGCGAAAGCCAGGGGAGCAAACGGG